GGGGGUGUGUCGGAACUGGCAGACGAGCAUGGCUUAGGACCAUGUGAGCGCAAGCUCGUGAGAGUUCGAGUCUCUCCAUCCCCA
This 84-nucleotide transfer RNA is filed under the name Chloroflexota bacterium. Its description in RNAcentral is "tRNA-Leu". It matches the Rfam family "tRNA". Rfam says of the family: Transfer RNA (tRNA) molecules are approximately 80 nucleotides in length. The record is from RNAcentral. Lineage: Bacteria; Bacillati; Chloroflexota.